This is a long non-coding RNA of Bos grunniens (domestic yak), 1711 nucleotides long. Lineage: Eukaryota; Metazoa; Chordata; Mammalia; Artiodactyla; Bovidae. The record is from Ensembl.
UGGAGUAGAUGGCAGAUGCUACAGUCUCAGUCUUGGAGACAAUAGUGCCUGGUAAGAAGUAUGGCUCACUGCAGGGGAGAAUGUCCCUAUUGAACAGUAAAGGUGACACAGUCUCCAAAUAGAUUUGAGAUUCUGGCUCAGAUCAGUCUGAAGAGAACUGACUUCCAGCAGUGGGGUACUUAUAAAGGACAGAGGAUGGCAGGCCAUUGUGAGGGCCAUGAGCUAGGGACAAUAUGAUCCCCACAGGACUGGGUUUUAGGAGCCAGAUCCCCUAGUCUGUGAGCCCGUAUGUCUCAGCCAGUACCUGACAGUGUAGUGAUGUUGCCCAACUAGGAGGAAGGUCUCAACUGGCCUGCCUCUUUAUAAGGAUCUCUCUUAAUAUUCACCCAAAUUAUAGAGAUGGGCAAGAGGGAAAGCAAAUUUCAUUCAUCUCGAGAAGACUGUCAGAAAUGUCCUCUCCAGGUGAUUGUAAGCACCUUGUUCCUGCAGGAAGAAGCCUGUAGUAGGGUCAAACAUUCCUCUGCUAGAUUAAAUCCUAAUGCUCUUAGAAUGGUUAAUAUCAGAAGAACUUGUUGAAUGCCUAUGGUUGGUCUUAGCCUCUUGGGUGCCUAUGAUUAGAAUCUUGAUAGAGUCACGUGGGAUGCCUCAAUCUUGAGAUUAGGACCAGGCUGCACUCAACUUUGCUUUUCUUUUUUGUAAUUUUGGUCUUUAAGCUGAAGCAUCACAGAACUCUGGAAAAGGAACAGAAUGAAGCAAGAUCCUGCUGCACAAAAGUUCUCUUUUCUCAACAUGUUUUUGCCAGAUGUUUCCACACAAAAAAGUGUAAAGGCAAAGGUUUUUUGUGCAUUGGUGCAUAUGACUUCAUCCUUAAUGACUGCCUCAAAAUGCUCCCCCUCCUUAAUUAAGAGAAUUAGUUCCUCCUCCCCCCACCUCCAACCCCCCCAACCCUUCCCCACCCACCAGUUCCUGUGUCAAGAGUAUCUAUUGUCUCUUGUCUUCACAACGUCUCAGCAUUUCAGCCAUGUGUGUCUGUCCUGUGUGUCCUCAGAGGGAAUCAAACUUAGCUCCACUCAUACUCAUCCUGUCUGUUUAAAAUCCAAAAUAAACACUUAAGCUCUUUGACUGACAAAAAUUCAUUCAUGGCAAAUUAGCAUGUGAGAUGACUAUUCUCUCUCCAGAUAGCCGUACAGUUUUGUCUGAUUAAGGGAUGAGUCUACACUCUGUGAUAAGUUUGCAUCCAUAUUAGCAGUCAGGCUCUAUUUUAUUUCAGAUAAUAAGGUUUUCAGCUUUACUAGAGAAAUACUUUUGUGUGUUCUAAAAUAUUUUCCAUGCUUAUGAUCUUACCUAUCUCUGCUAUUAUCCAUGCUGAAUUUUGUAAGGUCAGUAGUGGAGAUAACCUUAGAAAAUCUGAUUUGGCCCCUUUAUUUGGUAUCUAGCAAAAGAGAGGGAGUUGCCCCAAUCAUACAUAUGAUUAGUAAAGACAUCUUGACUCUCAUUCUCUACUCCACAUCUGUUAAUAACAGAUGGUACUGAAUUUUCAUGUGGAAACCCAAAACAAAAUAACAAAAUUCCUUCAUCUUUUAUUAAUAUCAGUUACAUUGGCACUGAGGAUGAUGCCUACAUACACUCCCAACCAGUGGCAAGUCAAUGUUUUGCUCCAACUAUGUCAUGAGUUGGGCUAACGUAGCCACACUUUCAUUUAAUACACUUG